GACGAACCGUGCGAACGUUGUUCGGAAUCACUGGGCUUAAAGGGCGCGUAGGCGGGUCGGAAAGUCCGCGGUGAAAUCCCCCCGCUCAACGGGGGAACGGCCGCGGAUACUGCCGGCCUCGAGGGGGGUAGGGGCGAGCGGAACGCUGGGUGGAGCGGUGAAAUUCGUAGAUAUUCGCAAGAACACCAGUGGCGAAGGCGGCUCACUGGUCCGGUACUGACGCUGAGGUGCGAAAGCGUGGGGAGCAAACAGG
This 253-nucleotide ribosomal RNA is filed under the name uncultured bacterium. RNAcentral describes it as "partial 16S ribosomal RNA". It matches the Rfam family "Bacterial small subunit ribosomal RNA", at positions 524 to 776 of the family's 1533-position model. The record is from RNAcentral.